ACUUUAUAAAUUUCGAAAUACAAAAAAGAAAAAGGGCCCGGUCCAAUGAACCAACAUUCAGGGUCGGGUAAACCGAGAGUCCGCGAUUUCCGCGUUUCGUCGGUUUUGGAUCCAGUUUCCUUUGCAAAAUAGGAAGGGAAACCCGCUUGAUAAAAUUAUUUCAAUCCCCCUUUUAAACAAGAAAGAAAAGAUUUUAGGGUUUAAACCAAUUCCUAAAAUCACUCGUAAUUGGCACCCAAAUUUUGAAUAAUUAUCCUCCUAACGAUCAGAUUUUCGCAGCCAUGACUGAGUAUUGGGUGAGUCAGGGGAAUAAAUGGUGUGAUUUCUGCAAAAUUUACAUAUCGAAUAACCCGUCAAGUAUUCGAAACCAUGAGCUUGGUCAACGGCACAAAGAAAAUGUUGCUAAGAGGCUUACUACUAUGCGAAAAGAGAGCGCAGCCAAAGAGAAGGAACAAAAGGAAGCUGCUCGCGCUCUCGAACAGAUUGAAACUAAAGCUAAGCGGAGUUAUCAGAAGGACGUUGCUAGUUUUGCGGCAAGAGAUUCUAAUGAUCAAGAAUUAGAUGGUCAAGAAGACUGGGACUACGACAGUAGUUCAGGUUAUUACUACAAUCAAAGCAAUGGGUUAUACUAUGAUCCAAAGUCAGGCUUUUACUAUUCUGAUGCUAUAGGCAGGUGGGUGACGCGGGAAGAGGCAUACUCCAAGGCUCAAGCUUCAUCAAAUCCUAAAUCAAGAGAUCCUAGCUUGAAAAGGCCAUUUCCAACUUCGGUGGUGGACCCAGUUGCAGAUAGCAAAAGUGCUAUUAAAAGUCAAAAGGAGACUGCACCUGGGCCUGUCAUUUCAGCUUCUUUAAAUCCCAUGAGAUCUGUUAAAGGUGCUCCAUCCUCACUUGCGGUUAAGAGGAAAAGACAAGAUGAGAAGCCCAAGGCUAUAUCUAAAGAAGAGGUAGCUGCACUCAAAGCAAGGGAAGCAGCAAAGAAGAGAGUUGAAGAGAGAGAGAAACCAUUACUUGGCCUGUACAAUGGAUCUCGCUGAUUGACAGUGGCUCAAGCAAGCAUCUUGCCUCUUCUUGAUUCAAGGGCACUAGCGGCUAAUAAAUUGUGCUUCAGCAGAAAAAACACUGAGAUCAGCUCCCUGGGCCUUAGAUUUUUGUGUGAGAAGAAUGGGAUGGAAAGAAAGUGAUCAUUGAUUUCUUCAACAUGAUACUGAGAACAUGACAUAGCAGGUCACAGAUUUAUUGCAUAGCAUGUAUGCUGUAUGGCUGCGUAAAGAAUGAACCAAUAUGGUAGCUUUCAUUACAUCCCUUUUAUUGUAGAAUAUUGAUCUUAAUAGGAGCUUGUGUUGUGUUAAAAGUCUUUAAUCUCUGCAAGUGUUUGUGAUCUAUUGAGGAAUUUUAUCAAUUUCUUCUUAAUUGAUAGAAAGUCCAGUGAUUUGAAAUUUGCAACUAUAGUACAAUCGUGUACAUGUAAUAUUCAUGCCUUCUAUCUACUUUUGCUUUUAUUUUGGAGUUUAAGUUAUGCCUUUAUUUCAAAUUUGGUGAAAUUUUUUUAGACAUUAACCUAGAAAGUUUGAGUCGGAUUAUUGUAUGUAUGGUUCUUGGGAUUUAAGUUUCCAUGUAGUUUUUGUUCGAAAGACAGUGUAGAACCUCACUCAAGAUUAUGACAUUUAGUGCCAUCUAAACAUUAGCAAAUACAUGAAUGAGGUUCCGUAUUCCCUUAAAGACCGGAGUUAAGUAUGUUGCUUUUGGAAAAAUAGUAGAUACUGUGUGGUCCCUAUUACUGGAAAAUGGGUGAAAAAGAUUGUGAUUAAGCAGAGGAUAGUUGUGUAUCUUAUUCAGGGCCAUUGGAAAAGGAAGAAAACCAGAAUGGAGAUCCUGGCUAGCCAGAUGGUUGUGAUUCACAGGAACCCUAACCUGACCGGAUUGCUGAUGAAUGAUGUUUUCUGCUGCUUCAGUAUGCUGUUGGGCUUAUGUUACCUGGCCGGCAGUCAUGUGGCAUGGCAUUGGCUUCUCAAUUCAAGGCACUAAUAGCAAUAGAAUGUGAAAACAUCAUUUCUGUUUCUCCCAGCGUCUACAAAGUGGCGAUUGCUCUUUCAAAACGUGCCCUCUCCGUCAGUCUUAUCCGCGAGCAAUUGAGCCGUAAAUGAACGUUGUUUCUGCUUCUUCGACCGUUAAUAAAGUUGAGCGUCGACAAAGUAACAAAGUAAAUGCAGUAACCAUACUGCUCUUUUUGCUUGACCCUUUUAAAAUAUUUUGGCUCGUAAAGCCUUCAAAUUAACACUGAAAAAACGUUUGUGACGAUGAAAGUUUUUACUGCAACCCCCCCAGCCUAUAAUA
Molecule: non-coding RNA, 2334 nt
Organism: Durio zibethinus
Lineage: Eukaryota; Viridiplantae; Streptophyta; Magnoliopsida; Malvales; Malvaceae
Source: RefSeq, a predicted model, not a curated record